CCAGGGUGGGAGGAUCCACUUCCAAAACGUCUCACUCACAUGACUAUUGGCAGAAAGCCUCAGUUCCUUGAAAAUGUGGACUUCUCUGCAGGCCUUCUGGAGUGUCCUCCUGACAGCAACUGGCCUUUCCCAGAGAGAGUGAUCCAACAGAGAGAGCAAGUAGGAUAUAGCUGCGCCUUUCAUGACAGCCUCAGAAGCCACAAAUCACCGUGUCUGCUAUGUUUUAUUCAUCAGAACAAUCCACCAACAUCUUUUUGAUUCCUGACUUCCCUUUGUAGAUUCUAUACUGUGACUUGAAGAACAGUUGGCAAAUGGGUCAAAAGCCAGUAGAUA
This 333-nucleotide long non-coding RNA is filed under the name Homo sapiens (human). RNAcentral describes it as "non-protein coding lnc-SGTB-4:2". The record is from RNAcentral. Lineage: Eukaryota; Metazoa; Chordata; Mammalia; Primates; Hominidae.